AGGAGAGUUUGAUCCUGGCUCAGGAUGAACGCUGGCGGCGUGCUUAACACAUGCAAGUUGUGCGGUUUUCUUCGGAUGAGACUUCGGUGGAUUUCGUAGAGAACAGCAGCGGACGGGUGAGUAAAGCACAAGGACGUGUCCUUUGGCGGGGGACAACUGCGGGAAACCGUAGCUAAUACCCCAUAAGCCGGAAGGUGAAAGCAGCAAUGCACCGGGGGAGCGACUUGUGUCCUAUCAGGUAGUUGGUGAGGCAACGGCUCACCAAGCCAAAGACGGGUAGCCGGACUGAGAGGUUGUACGGCCACAUUGGAACUGAGAGACGGUCCAGACUCCUACGGGAGGCAGCAGUGGGGAAUAUUGGGCAAUGGGCGCAAGCCUGACCCAGCGACGCCGCGUGAGGGAAGACAGCCUUCGGGUUGUAAACCUCUGUUGCAGGGGAAGAAGGACGUGACGGUACCCUGCGAGGAAGCUCCGGCUAACUACGUGCCAGCAGCCGCGGUAAUACGUAGGGAGCGAGCGUUGUCCGGAAUUACUGGGCGUAAAGGGCGCGUAGGCGGUGUUUCAAGUCAACUGUCAAAGAGCGGGGCUUACCCCCGUGCCGCAGUUGAAACUGAAACGCUGGAGGCACAGAGAGGCAGACAGAAUUCCUGGUGUAGCGGUGAAAUGCGUAGAUAUCAGGAAGAAUACCAGUGGCGAAGGCGGUCUGCUGGCUGUGAACUGACGCUGAAGCGCGAAAGCCAGGGGAGCAAACGGGAUUAGAUACCCUGGUAGUCCCCU
Molecule: ribosomal RNA, 777 nt
Filed under: uncultured Synergistota bacterium
Lineage: Bacteria; Thermotogati; Synergistota
Description: bacterial SSU rRNA
Rfam family: Bacterial small subunit ribosomal RNA
Source: RNAcentral